Lampris incognitus (smalleye Pacific opah) is the source of this 805-nucleotide long non-coding RNA. RefSeq lists it as uncharacterized. The transcript has 3 exons. NCBI's taxonomy places the organism in Eukaryota, Metazoa, Chordata, Actinopteri, Lampriformes, Lampridae. The record is from RefSeq and is a predicted model, not a curated record.
AGAAAGAAGUGUCCUUGCUGGCUGCUCUAAUAGCAAACGUCUGCUGGUGUAAUGUCAUCUAGCCAGCGCAGCCACAGCCGUUCAAAUCCCACGGAGUCCAUGAAGAGGUGUCGCAGCAAAUGAUGAAAGUGUUUGGAGCAACGGUGUGAACGAAUUCAUUUGAGGAUUCGGCUUUUUUGGGGUGCAGCUAGAAGAAACAUGCCCUGAGUCCCUCUGCGUCCACUGUGCCAACCAUUCACUUGACCUAAUUCUUCAGGAGGCUGCGCAUGAGGAUCCUUCCCUGACCCAUCAGCGUGACCCUUGGGAAAGGACUAAAAAGUCUCAGACCCCAACUGCUAAUAUACUCAGUGCUGCAUGGCUUGUCUGAGCUUUCACUGGUCUACUCCAGGUUUGGAUCUGUGCCACGAGGUUCACCACUGUCAUAUCAGUGUCCUCCUGUUGUGGCCACCAGUCAUGUCAAACACCCAGAUGCCUCAGUAUUCCUCAAACUCCCUGUGGAUGGUGCCACAUUUUCCACUGUCUUAGACUUUGUCCCAAACUGCCACCAGUUCCUCCAUUUGGAGAGCCUGUCACACGGGGGAUUGCCGCUAUGAUAGAGGGCACAUGAAAGCAGUCUGAGUGUCCAUUAUGGAAAGAAAUGCGCCAGCUGAGUAACAGCCACAAUGCCGCCCCCCCUUUUUUUUUUCUUCAAAGAGAAUUCAUAUCAAAGCUAUUAUAGCUCACAUGAGUGACAGUUUUUAUAUAUAUAUAUAUACACACACACACACACACAAUUGUACUUACUGUAUUAUUGUAUUUGUAUUAC